AAACAAGAUUUAUCAUGAGAAGUCAGCAGAGACCAUAGUACCCGAGGAAGUCGACGUCGACGUCGUCGGGGAAGGGU
This is a non-coding RNA of Desulfosporosinus sp., 77 nucleotides long. Lineage: Bacteria; Bacillati; Bacillota; Clostridia; Eubacteriales; Desulfitobacteriaceae. The record is from Rfam.